Long non-coding RNA from Gossypium arboreum, 818 nucleotides. RefSeq lists it as uncharacterized. Lineage: Eukaryota; Viridiplantae; Streptophyta; Magnoliopsida; Malvales; Malvaceae. The transcript has 6 exons. The record is from RefSeq and is a predicted model, not a curated record.
UCAAAAACACAGGUAAAAUAUCAAUGCUUUUACGGAAAAUGGCUUACCGAUUUUUUUUUCUAUAAGACAUUUUCCAACUCUCACCAAUCUCUCUUAGCAGUUCUUCUCAUCUUCCUUCUUCUUCAUCCAGGGCUGCUGUUUCAUUUCGCUCAAAUCUUCCUCUUCGCAGGGUCUUGGCUUAAGUAAUUAUGCAACAACUGGAAGGAUUAUUCCAAUUGUGAAAGCCUCACCACGACUUUCUUCUUCUCCCACCUCCAUCAAUUUUCUAACAGCAAAUCACUUACGCAGGCACUGACUCGUGCUAGGGUCCCCAUAGUAAAGCUUAUGGAUCCAGUGACUGGAAUUUCCUGUGACAUAUGCGUAAACAAUGUUUUUGCUGUAGUAAAUACAACGCUUCUACGAGAUUAUGCAAAGAUCGAUGUAAGAUUAUAGCAGUUGGCUUUUACUGUGAAACACUGGGCCAAGACCAGAUGAGUGAAUGCAACUUACCAAAGGACUCUAUCUAGCUACGCCAACGUAGACCUGCUAUCCUUCCAUGCUUGCAGUAAGGGAGAAAAAGACUGGACAAGAAAAAUUGGCAAUGAUCGUCAUUUAAUCUGCAUAGAGGAUCCGUUUGUGGUAUCUCAUGACCUUGGUCGAGUGGUGGACAAGUUCAGCAUUAAAGUUCUAAGAGAAGAGUUUGAACGAGCUUCUGAUGUAAUGUAGUAUGAUCCAAAUCCUUGGAUAACACUUUUUGAACCUUACGUCAUUGGGUAACAAAACAUUGUCCAAGUGUGUUAGAAAAUCAAUGGUUAAAGCUAUUUGGUUGGUUUUUAUAA